UACGGAGGGUGCAAGCGUUAUCCGGAUUCACUGGGUUUAAAGGGUGCGUAGGCGGACAGGUAAGUCAGUGGUGAAAUCUCCGAGCUUAACUCGGAAACUGCCUUUGAUACUCUCUGUCUUGAAUAUGGUGGAGGUAAGCGGAAUAUGUCAUGUAGCGGUGAAAUGCUUAGAGAUGACAUAGAACACCUAUUGCGAAGGCAGCUCGCUACACAUAUAUUGACUCUGAGGCACGAAAGCGUGGGGAUCAAACAGG
RNAcentral lists this ribosomal RNA (253 nucleotides) under uncultured bacterium. RNAcentral's name for it is "partial 16S ribosomal RNA". It matches the Rfam family "Bacterial small subunit ribosomal RNA", at positions 524 to 776 of the family's 1533-position model. The record is from RNAcentral.